CCUGGAGGCAGGACCUGAAACAGAGACUAUGGAAGAACACGUCUUACUGACUUUCUCUCCAGGCUCACGCUCCGCGUCCUUUCUUAUGCCUCCCAGGAUUGUGAUGGCCCCACAUGGAUCAAGAAAGCAGCCCCCAUAGACUUGCUCAUGAGCCAGUCUGAUGGAGGCAGUUCUUCAGCUGAGGACCCCUCUUCUUCCUUGCGUAACUUGUGUCAAGAAGAUACAGUCUAGCCGGCACAACCAUCAAUGGUGACCCAUCACCAUACGGCAGUGUGUAGAAUGUGGCAGAACGUGCCAAGUGAAGAGCUUCCACACAUGUUGGUCACCCUCCAUGACACAUUUGGAGACUGUGGCUUUGAAGAGCAGGUCCUUUACCAAGGCACGAUGUUCUGCGUAUAGCACACGGCACAGGAAUGAGGAGUCCUGAGGGGACAUAAGGUGAAAGGAGAGUGAACUUCCACAUGCCAGUCCAAAAUAUGUCACUCCUAAGCAGGGGCAUCUGUGCCCCAAGGAAGGACACAGAAAGGGGUAGCUUGGAAGCGAUGCUGGGAAACGCACAUUUACUAAGGGGCAGCUGAUGGGGAGCCAGUCUGGCUUGUCUCUGCAAACCUAAUCAAGGAUGCCAGUAAAGAGUGAAGACAAGAGGUAUGUGUG
Molecule: long non-coding RNA, 654 nt
Filed under: Rattus norvegicus (Norway rat)
Lineage: Eukaryota; Metazoa; Chordata; Mammalia; Rodentia; Muridae
Description: long non-coding RNA NONRATT034062
Source: RNAcentral